UCCUACGGGAGGCAGCAGUGAGGAAUAUUGCGCAAUGGGGGAAACCCUGACGCAGCGACGCCGCGCGGAGGAUGAAGGUUUUAGGAUUGUAAACUCCUGUUAAGUGGGGCGAAAAACUCUGUUAUAAUACAGCAGAGGAAUGACGGUACAACUAGAGAAAGCACCGGCUAACUUCGUGCCAGCACCCGCGGUAAUA
Molecule: ribosomal RNA, 196 nt
Filed under: uncultured bacterium
Lineage: Bacteria
Description: partial 16S ribosomal RNA
Rfam family: Bacterial small subunit ribosomal RNA
Source: RNAcentral